Molecule: ribosomal RNA, 301 nt
Filed under: uncultured bacterium
Lineage: Bacteria
Description: partial 16S ribosomal RNA
Rfam family: Bacterial small subunit ribosomal RNA
Source: RNAcentral
CAGCCGCCACGGUAAUACGUAGGUGGCAAGCGUCGUCCGGAAUUAUUGGGCGUAAAGGGCUCGCAGGCGGUUUCUUAAGUCUGAUGUGAAAGCCCCCGGCUCAACCGGGGAGGGUCAUUGGAAACUGGGAAACUUGAGUGCAGAAGAGGAGAGUGGAAUUCCACGUGUAGCGGUGAAAUGCGUAGAGAUGUGGAGGAACACCAGUGGCGAAGGCGACUCUCUGGUCUGUAACUGACGCUGAGGAGCGAAAGCGUGGGGAGCGAACAGGAUUAGAUACCCGAGUAGUCCCUGUCUCUUAUAC